This 230-nucleotide ribosomal RNA is filed under the name uncultured bacterium. RNAcentral describes it as "partial 16S ribosomal RNA". It matches the Rfam family "Bacterial small subunit ribosomal RNA", at positions 127 to 353 of the family's 1533-position model. The record is from RNAcentral.
UGCCUUAUAGUGGGGGAUAGCCUUUCGAAAGGAAGAUUAAUACCGCAUAAGAUUGUAGUAUCGCAUGAUAUAGCAAUUAAAGGAGCAAUUCGCUAUAAGAUGGACCCGCGUCGCAUUAGCUAGUUGGUGAGGUAAUGGCUCACCAAGGCGACGAUGCGUAGCCGACCUGAGAGGGUGAUCGGCCACAUUGGGACUGAGACACGGCCCAGACUCCUACAGGAGGCAGCAUG